AUAUCGUAACCCUACUCCAAAAUCCGACACCUAAUAACUGCACUUCAAAAUCCUACUCCUGACUGACAAUUACUAAAUUAAGAACCGGUGGGCCGUCUCUUUCGUAAUUCUACACCGUCCUCCCCAAUUCUACUAACGGACAUGUAGAAAGAAAAGCCCUAAUCUCUCAACAAUUUCAAAAACCUUCCAUCACCGAAAGCUUAGAUCAGUUAAAAUUAGUUAAGAUAGUUGGAGUUCGAAGUUUUGAUUUUUCAUUUCCUGCAUUUUCUCGGUAACCAAACAGACCCACUUCACAAUGUUGUCUGUUUUCCGACGCGAUGUGUAAAAACUGGCUUCUCACGUAAAGAGGUAACUGUUCUUCCAAGAGGAUUGGUCCUAUCUUUUCUGGUGGAAGGAAAUCGUCAACAAUGUCGAAUUCGAGGUCAACAACUGCAGGUAAGUCGUUCUUGUAUUUCUAGUGAUACAUUUUUUUGGGAAAAUCUAAUGGUAUUGUAAAGGAGAUCUUAAAGUGUCACGCAUACGUUCUCAAGACGCAAAUCGCCCUGUUCUGUUGUAAUUGCGAUGUUGAUGUCCUAUGGCUGUUGAAAUAAAGCAUUUCUUUUUAAAUAAAUAAAAUACAUCUUUUGAAUUUGAAGAACCUAACCUCCACGCAAUCGUGUAUUAAACUUUAUUCUUCUGCAAGUAGGAUGGCAGUGUCAAAACUACUUACUCUAUUGGUUAUUGUAUUUACAUUUCUCCUUUCUACUUGCUGAAUUUGAUUCUUCCUUUGAUAGACACAGGCAUAAUAAGUUUGGCAUUUUUAAACAUCUGUGUUUUGAUCUCUUCGUUGCGCUGUUUAAGUAGCUAUCCUGAUAAAAGCUGAGUUCUGAAAUAUCAGAGAUUGGCGCCGAAGCUUUUCUGGAAUUAGUAUUAAUUUUAAGGAAUACUGGUAGAUAGAACUUUGAGGGUUAUAAAACAUGUUUAAAGAACAUCACUGCAUGUUUCAUGCCAUACCACUGCUAGAUAGAGCUGUAAGGCUUAUGUAAAAACAUGGGUUUCAUGUGGCAGCACCACUUAGUGCAUAGAGUGGGCAUUCAACUGGAAUCUGGUUCUAUAAGUUGGUCCCAUUGUAAAUGGUGAGGCAACACAUCAUCAGUUACCUAAGGGUAUGUUUGGAUGAGGAACUUCCAAAUCUCUAGGGACUUGGGCCAAGUGAGGAAUGUUUGGAUGAGGGACUCCUAAAUUCCAAGGGAUUUAGGCAAAGUGAUGAAGAAAUGGAUCACAAAAAGUUAGAUAAGAGGGAUUAGAAAUUCUCCACAUGAGAAUUGAAAAAGCAUGUGAGAGGGAUUUGCAAAUGAUGGGUUGGAAUUUAGAAUGGAUUUGCAAAUCUCAUGUGGAGAAUUUCUAAUCCCUCCUAUCUAAAUUUUUGUGAUGCCUUUCUUCAUCACUUUGUGUAAAUCCCUUGGAAUUUAGAAGUCCCUCACCUAAACAGUAAAACAUUAGAUAGAUUAGAUAGGAGGAUUAUAAAUGCACUACAUGAUUAUCAAAAAGUUAUGCAAGAGGGAUUUAUAAAUGACUAGUUCCAAGUAGUCAUAUGCAAAUUCCUCCCACAUGCCUUUGUAAUGUACAUGUGGUGCAUUUCUAAACCCUCCAUCUAACAUUAUGUGAUCCAUUCUUUACUAACUUGGCCUCAAUCCAAACAUGGCCUAAAAGUGAUACUCCAGCUAAAGGUCUUUUCUUUUUUAGAUAGAUGCUUUGCCAUGCUAAUUUGAGGUACUACUGGACAUUAUAGGAGUUGGUUGGUUAGAGGCCUUUAUCUUUUUUCAGUAGACAGCUUGCGACUGUCCUUGUAUAUAUACUUUUAUCAUAUGAAUAAAACCCUUAUUUUUCUUACCUUAAAAGAAAAAGAUAAACCAUGUUUCAAGGUUUACGGGGGUUUUAAGUGAGUUAAGUGUUGAUUUUGAGACAUUACAACUUACAAGUUCUAAGCUUUUUCAUAUACAUUUUGAUUCGAGGUAAUCUUUUCUAUUGUAUGAGGACUUUCAUUAUCAAACGUAUCUUCCUUGGCCGAGGAUUUAGACUUUUCCUUGAAUAAAUUUGCCAUAGGUCUAUAUUUGCAUUGUUCUUCUAGUUUACUCUGAGUUUUUGUUUCUGCAGAUUGUUUCUUCAUUGCUUUUAAUUUUCUUGAAGAACAGUGAAUUGAAUAAAAAAUAUUGGUGAACAUCCAAUUUUAGAAAAUGUGCAUCCCACAUUUAUUUUCCAUCGGAGAUUGUGAAAAUAUGGCAUACAUUGGAUCAGCAUUUGAGUUACUUGUAGACUGGUAGUUGAUUUCAUCCAUUUGUUUGACUGACAUGAACCAUCGAACUGUUAGGGGAAAAGGCCAAUUUUAAAAAACAAUAACCAACCAUUCGACAAUGAUGAUUACAUUCAUUUCAGAUCAAAUUCUUUGCAUCUAUUUAUAGAGUUGUCGGGAUAGUGUGAGGGUUUUGCGUAACAUUUAGCCUGCUUGAAAUGAUUAGUCUGACUAUAUUAGAUUAUCUUGAGUUUAGGAAGACCUGGCUGAUUGAUCCCUCCAUUUGUUGGUAUUCAGUUAACGUAUUCUAGUUCGAUGAAACUUGAAAACCAAUCUCGAAUUAUUAAGUCCAUAUUUGGACUUUACCUUGACGAGAUAAGGGUUUGCAGAAAGAGAGGCAUAUUUUUUGGAUGGGAUUGAAUGCUAAUACUUUAGAAUGGUUGGUUGAUGGAGGCUUUGCGUAAAAUUCGAAACUUUAGUUUUAAAUGGAGAAAAAUGAUAACAAAUCCAACGUUGUUGUUUAAGAUUCCAAUUUGAUUUGAUUUUUAAGUUUAGUGACAAUGGUUUUACAUUGCAGGGAGUGACAACGAUAUGCAAUUUAGUGUAGCUUAUGUAAUUUCUGCCAAUCAUUUUUGCUCACCUAACGUCCUGUUUGUGCAUGCAUGAGUCUAAAAUUAUGUGGUAGUUCAAUUAAUAGGGGACAAUCGCGGUGGUAAGUCUAUGUUUUCAUUUGAAUUGCCUCAAUGAUAUAAAUAUAUGCUUGUGCUUUCAUUAAUGAUUGCAUAAAUUGUUCGGAGAUAGUGCAUAUUUCAAAAAAAUGUCCGUAGCAUUUAUUUCAAAUCUGUAUAAUCUAUUCAUUUUUCUUGGCACUAAUUGCUGGUAACAUUUUCACCUGACUUCCAAGACCACUAUUCCAUCUACUCUUCAAUAUCUAACUGCCUCUCAAGGUUGGAUAUGAAGUCGGCUUUAUGUGCAGAUAUUAUAAGCUUCCGGUUAAUUGCAAUAAUUGAGUGGUAGGUGGUCUUUUUUUACGUGUCAUGGGCCUGAGUUUGCCGCCAAGUGGAUUGCGUGUCGUGUUAGUUUGCUUGGUGAUUGGGAUUGAAUUACGAAAUCUCACUUGGAGUUGUGAUUGGCAAUCCAAAAAGGUCAUCUUGCACUCCUCGAAAUGCAGUUUCUACCUUAUGUUUCUGUAAGAGAGGAGUGCAGGAUGAAUCUUUGGAGUGCUAAUUAAUAACAUCUCCCUCAUUUUAUUACUCGUAGGAGAUGUUCGUUGAUGUUCUAAGCAGGUUCUUUCCGAUGAACGAAAGACUGGGGAGCCUAGGAAUUGUUAGAUUAGACCGUAGAAUUCCAUGUGAUGGUGAGAGGUAGGUAUUCAGAUGUAUUUAUUUGAGUUUUACUAUAUUGUAUUAACAUUUCCCGCGAUGGCUUAUAUCGGGUUUAAACCAAGUUGUGAUUGUUUAAUGAAAUUGAAGCCUGAUGUUUUUGAAUA
Long non-coding RNA from Pyrus x bretschneideri (Chinese white pear), 3761 nucleotides. RefSeq lists it as uncharacterized. Lineage: Eukaryota; Viridiplantae; Streptophyta; Magnoliopsida; Rosales; Rosaceae. The record is from RefSeq and is a predicted model, not a curated record. The transcript has 2 exons.